GAUGAACGCUGGCGGCGUGCCUAAUACAUGCAAGUCGAGCGAACAGACGAGGAGCUUGCUCCUCUGACGUUAGCGGCGGACGGGUGAGUAACACGUGGAUAACCUACCUAUAAGACUGGGAUAACUUCGGGAAACCGGAGCUAAUACCGGAUAAUAUAUUGAACCGCAUGGUUCAAUAGUGAAAGACGGUUUUGCUGUCACUUAUAGAUGGAUCCGUGCCGCAUUAGCUAGUUGGUAAGGUAACGGCUUACCAAGGCAACGAUGCGUAGCCGACCUGAGAGGGUGAUCGGCCACACUGGAACUGAGACACGGUCCAGACUCCUACGGGAGGCAGCAGUAGGGAAUCUUCCGCAAAGGGCGAAAGCCUGACGGAGCAACGCCGCGUGAGUGAUGAAGGUCUUCGGAUCGUAAAACUCUGUUAUUAGGGAAGAACAAAUGUGUAAGUAACUAUGCACGUCUUGACGGUACCUAAUCAGAAAGCCACGGCUAACUACGUG
RNAcentral lists this ribosomal RNA (497 nucleotides) under uncultured bacterium. Its description in RNAcentral is "partial 16S ribosomal RNA". It matches the Rfam family "Bacterial small subunit ribosomal RNA", at positions 28 to 507 of the family's 1533-position model. The record is from RNAcentral.